The sequence is a transfer RNA, 75 nucleotides long. It matches the Rfam family "tRNA". From Rfam's summary of the family: Transfer RNA (tRNA) molecules are approximately 80 nucleotides in length. Their secondary structure includes four short double-helical elements and three loops (D, anti-codon, and T loops).
ACCGGGUUAGAGAAGUCUGGUAAUCUCAUCAUCUUCAUAAGUUGAAAAUCCUGGGUUCAAAUCCCAGACCCGGCA